Molecule: ribosomal RNA, 909 nt
Filed under: uncultured bacterium
Lineage: Bacteria
Description: bacterial SSU rRNA
Rfam family: Bacterial small subunit ribosomal RNA
Source: RNAcentral
GAGUUUGAUCCUGGCUCAGGAUGAACGCUAGUGGCAGGCUUAACACAUGCAAGUCGAGGGGUAACAUUGGAGCUUGCUUCAGAUGACGACCGGCGCACGGGUGCGUAACGCGUAUAGAACCUACCUUUUACAAAGGGAUAGCCUUUAGAAAUGAAGAUUAAUACCUUAUAGUAUUUUAGAUUAGCAUUAAUUUAAAAUUAAAGAUUUAUCGGUAAAAGAUGGCUAUGCGUUCUAUUAGCUAGAUGGAGUGGUAACGGCACCCCAUGGCUACGAUAGAUAGGGGCCCUGAGAGGGGGAUCCCCCACACUGGUACUGAGACACGGACCAGACUCCUACGGGAGGCAGCAGUGAGGAAUAUUGGACAAUGGAGGCAACUCUGAUCCAGCCAUGCCGCGUGCAGGAUGACUGCCCUAUGGGUUGUAAACUGCUUUUAUACAGGAAGAAACACUCCCUCGUGAGGGAGCUUGACGGUACUGUAAGAAUAAGGAUCGGCUAACUCCGUGCCAGCAGCCGCGGUAAUACGGAGGAUCCAAGCGUUAUCCGGAAUCAUUGGGUUUAAAGGGUCCGUGGGUGGAUGAUUAAGUCAGAGGUGAAAUCCUGCAGCUCAACUGUAGAAUUGCCUUUGAUACUGGUUAUCUUGAAUCAUUAUGAAGUAGUUAGAAUAUGUAGUGUAGCGGUGAAAUGCAUAGAUAUUACAUAGAAUACCAAUUGCGAAGGCAGAUUACUAAUAAUGUAUUGACACUGAUGGACGAAAGCGUGGGGAGCGAACAGGAUUAGAUACCCUGGUAGUCCACGCCGUAAACGAUGGUUACUAGCUGUUCGGUUUUCGGACUGAGUGGCUAAGCGAAAGUGAUAAGUAACCCACCUGGGGAGUACGUUCGCAAGAAUGAAACUCAAAGGAAUUGACGG